Molecule: ribosomal RNA, 440 nt
Filed under: uncultured bacterium
Lineage: Bacteria
Description: partial 16S ribosomal RNA
Rfam family: Bacterial small subunit ribosomal RNA
Source: RNAcentral
CCUACGGGUGGCAGCAGUGGGGAAUAUUGCACAAUGGGGGAAACCCUGAUGCAGCGACGCCGCGUGAGUGAAGAAGUAAUUCGUUUUGUAAAGCUCUAUCAGCAGGGAAGAAAAUGACGGUACCUGAGUAAGAAGCCCCGGCUAAAUACGUGCCAGCAGCCGCGGGAAUACGGAGGGGGCACGCGUUCUACGGAUUUACUGGGUGUAAAGGGAGCGUAGACGGCAGUGCAAGUCUGGAGUGAAAGGGGGGGGCUCAACCCCCGGACUGCUCUGGAAACUGUAAGGCUGGAGUGCAGGAGAGGGAAGUGGAAUUCCUGGUGUAGCGGUGAAAUGCGUAGAUAUUAGGAGGAACACCAGUGGCGAAGGCGGCUUACUGGACUGUAACUGACGUUGAGGCUCGAAAGCGUGGGGAGCAAACAGGAUUAGAUACCCCAGUAGUC